Molecule: long non-coding RNA, 429 nt
Filed under: Carica papaya (papaya)
Lineage: Eukaryota; Viridiplantae; Streptophyta; Magnoliopsida; Brassicales; Caricaceae
Description: long non-coding RNA (CPAP_LNC007303)
Source: RNAcentral
AUGGGGAGUGUGAAUCCUGACGAUCCAAGGACCAUCCUACCCCUUGCCCAUGGCGACCCCGCCGUCUUCCCCGUCUUCAGAACUAGCCUUGAUGCUGAAAACGCCAUUGUCGAUGCUCUGAGAACCGGUGAAUACAACUGCUAUUCACCUGGCGAUGGGGUUGAAGAAGCAAGAAGGUUAGCGAUACAUAUAUUUAUAUACACACACACACAUAUAUAUCGUUAUCUCAUCUAUAUCCUGUUGUUAAUUAAUUUGCGAUUGCAGAGCUCUUGCAAAGUACCUGAAUCGUGACCUGACAAACAAGUUAACAGGAGAUGACAUAUUCUUCGCGGUUGGAUGUAACCAAGCGAUUGAGAUAAUACUAACAGUGCUUCAACGUCCGGGUGCGAACAUUUUGCUGCCCCGACCCGGUUUCCCUCACUACGAGGC